AUUGAACGCUGGCGGCAUGCCUUACACAUGCAAGUCGAACGGUAACAGGUCUUCGGAUGCUGACGAGUGGCGAACGGGUGAGUAAUACAUCGGAACGUGCCCGAUCGUGGGGGAUAACGAAGCGAAAGCUUUGCUAAUACCGCAUAAGAUCUACGGAUGAAAGCAGGGGACCGCAAGGCCUUGCGCGAACGGAGCGGCCGAUGGCAGAUUCGGUAGUUGGUGGGAUAAAAGCUUACCAAGCCGACGAUCUGUAGCUGGUCUGAGAGGACGACCAGCCACACUGGGACUGCGACACGGCCCAGACUCCUACGGGAGGCAGCAGUGGGGAAUUUUGGACAAUGGGCGAAAGCCUGAUCCAGCCAUGCCGCGUGCAGGAUGAAGGCCUUCGGGUUGUAAACUGCUUUUGUACGGAACGAAAAGACUCUUUCUAAUAAAGAGGGUCCAUGACGGUACCGUAAGAAUAAGCACCGGCUAACUACGUGCCAGCCGCCGCAGUAA
Molecule: ribosomal RNA, 498 nt
Filed under: uncultured bacterium
Lineage: Bacteria
Description: partial 16S ribosomal RNA
Rfam family: Bacterial small subunit ribosomal RNA
Source: RNAcentral